GAUAGAGGUGCGGAGAGCUCGUGUAGGACGACGGAGGCAGCCGGUGCCGUUGAAGCGUCUGAAUAGACUCACCGCCGAAGGAGAAAGCUCGGCACGCUUUUUUCCUGGGCGCAUGGUAAAGCUGCCAUGUGACUGUCAUCAUGAAACAUUGAUGGGGAGCUAUCGU
Molecule: non-coding RNA, 166 nt
Filed under: bovine gut metagenome
Description: Lysine riboswitch
Rfam family: Lysine riboswitch aptamer
About the family: Riboswitches are metabolite binding domains within certain messenger RNAs that serve as precision sensors for their corresponding targets. Allosteric rearrangement of mRNA structure is mediated by ligand binding, and this results in modulation of gene expression. This family includes riboswitches that sense lysine in a number of genes involved in lysine metabolism, including lysC.
Source: RNAcentral